CCAUGUCGGAGACUGGGAACGAACAGUGUUAAUUUUGUUGAGCGAAGCACAUUUUUGUGAGACUUGUGAGAGCGAAGUGAGAUUUUAUAGCGAAGCGAUUUCUAUUAUUAAAUAUAACUUUUAAACUUUAAUUUGUGAGUGAUUUUAAGCGAAGUGACGUAUUAUUUGUUGGGAAUCAGUUUUGGAGGCAAACUUUCCUAACACCUGGCACCUCCGACGAAAAAUAUUGAUGAAAUUUGCGAAUUAUUUCUGGAUUUUGACCUCAAGAGACAAAGUUUAGGUACGAAUUCUUUUAAUUUACUGGCGAUAUUUGUGGCGAUAUUACAUAACGUUUGAGAGAUUAUUGUGCAAAGACUUGUUUACGUUCUGAACUGUGGGAUUAUUAUUCAUAUUUCGGCGAUUUGUGGCGAUAUAUUUCAUAUCUGUGAGCGAUAUAUUUUCUGUGUAAACUUGUGUACUGCGAAGGGUGUUACGGCAACCCGCGAGUUUAGCCUGCGACCAGGUUAGAGUGUGCGAAGUUCCGCCUGCGAGAUUCGGCCCUAGAGGGGCCCUCUAGAGGUACAGUGAUUUUCAAACAUUUGUGAUUUUUUGGAGUGAUUAGUAAAAUUUGGCAGCUGUUCCCAAAUUUUAGUUGGCUGGAAGGACAUUCUACAAGUGCUAUAUCUUAUUGGCAAAUUCUGUAUACUUUAUAAUCAUACAACAUCAAAUCUAUUGAUACUAUGGCAACUGGGAACAGUGUAAUUGAGAAUAAGUUAGUACAGCUUAAGCUUAUAGUUGGGCGAACCAGAAAGAUUCUGGAAUCCGGAAAUCAAGAAGCAGUUGAGCGACAACAACGAGUUUUGCGAACCAUUGUUGCUGACAUAGACAAAUGUAAAGUGGAAGAAGAAGCAAGAAUGAUUGACGAGAAAAAGGAGUUGACAGAAAUUAGUGAAUGGAAUUCAAACAUCGAGGAAAAGUUAUCUGAAGCAGACAAGGACAUUCAUGACCUGAGAGAAUGGUGUGAAAGUAAGAAACGAGAAUGCGAGGAAAACCAGCGGAAGCAAGAAUUAGAUUUUGAACAUGAACUAUUUCAGACACGCCUAAAAUUCCAGAAUGAGCUACAGGCAGCUAAACUAAAGCAAGAAUCAGCAAGUGUUGAAAAGAAAGAGUCACAAGCA
Molecule: non-coding RNA, 1157 nt
Organism: Paramuricea clavata
Lineage: Eukaryota; Metazoa; Cnidaria; Anthozoa; Malacalcyonacea; Plexauridae
Source: the annotation of a GenBank genome assembly